CUACGGGCGGCUGCAGUGGGGAAUAUUGGACAAUGGGGGAAACCCUGAUCCAGCAAUGCCGCGUGUGUGAAGAAGGCCUGCGGGUUGUAAAGCACUUUCGGUUGGGAGGACUGCUUCUAGCACUAAUAUUGUUGGAAGUUGACGUUACCUUCAGAAGAAGCACCGGAGAACUCCGUGCCAGCAGCCGCGGUGAAUACGGAGGGUGCAAGCGUUAAUCGGAAUUACUGGGCGUAGAGCGCGCGUAGGCGGCUAGAUCAGUCGGGUGUGAAAGCCCCGGGCUUAACCUGGGAACUGCAUCCGAUACUGUCUAGCUUGAGUACAGGAGAGGAGAGUGGAAUUCCACAUGUAGCGGUGAAAUGCGUAGAUAUGUGGAGGAACACCAAUGGCGAAGGCAGCUCUCUGGCCUGAUACUGACGCUGAGGUGCGAAAGCGUGGGGAGCAAACAGGAUUAGAUACCCCGGUAGUC
Molecule: ribosomal RNA, 466 nt
Filed under: uncultured bacterium
Lineage: Bacteria
Description: partial 16S ribosomal RNA
Rfam family: Bacterial small subunit ribosomal RNA
Source: RNAcentral